This 722-nucleotide long non-coding RNA is filed under the name Malus domestica (apple). RNAcentral's name for it is "long non-coding RNA (MDOM_LNC013918)". The record is from RNAcentral. Lineage: Eukaryota; Viridiplantae; Streptophyta; Magnoliopsida; Rosales; Rosaceae.
GGUCAACGGUUUGAUUUUCAAGAUUGAUGGGGUUUUCUUCUAGUUGGUGACUUGAUCUUUAAGGAUUUAAUUCAAGGGUGGUGAAUCGGCAUGUGCAGCCCACAACGCCUAGCGAGUCGCCCAAGAAUUUGAGGGUCAAAACUAGUCCACUACCCAGAGUGAUUGCAACCUUGAUGAUAUGAGAUACUUUUGAUUUUGAAGAAGUAGCGGAUGAAUCGGCAUGUGCUUUGUUGUGCUUGUCUUCACAUGCUUCAAUGCAUCAUUUUCCCUUGCUUUAUCUGUUAUUCUAGCAGAUGUGGUAUCUUCUCUUGAAGCAAAAGAUGUUGAGACAAUGGGUACUUCGAGAGCAGUGCUAGGUAAGCAAUCAAGAAAGGGUUCCAGGCAGUUGGUUCUAGAUCGAAAAUUGAUACCAAGUGCUGGCUGAUUACUUUCUUUCUCCUUGUCCUGCAUGUAAGAACAAGGAUAAAGAAAAGGACAGGGAGAAAACAUGAUAUGAAAUACUCUUGCUUUCGAAGAAGUGGUGGCGAUUUGACAGCGUUGCACAAUGAGGCUUUGCUCUUCGAUGAUGGUGCCGUCAAUAUGUUGUUGAAGCUUCUCGAGCUCUUGGAUUCAACUCAAACUCCUUCUGCUGGGUUGGUUGAUUGUGCAGGGAAUGGGAGACUUGAUCUUGAAGGAAAUCAGCAUGUUGUCUCCACAUGCUUUAAGGUAUCAUUUUCACUUGA